RNAcentral lists this ribosomal RNA (582 nucleotides) under Triticum aestivum (bread wheat). RNAcentral describes it as "partial small subunit ribosomal RNA". Lineage: Eukaryota; Viridiplantae; Streptophyta; Magnoliopsida; Poales; Poaceae. The record is from RNAcentral.
AUGGGUUCGUGCGUCUCGCGCUCGACGGCGUCGCCGCUGGAGGGGUCCGGGCGGGCGGUGGCCACGGCGAAGGUGGUCGGCCAGGACGGCUCCUUGGCGCAGUUCGCGGCGCCCGUCACGGCGGGCGAGGCACUGGGGGACGCCGCCCGCGCGCCGAGCUUCAUGUGCAGCGCAGACGAGCUCCGCUUCGACGCGCCCGCCCGCGCGCUGGCGGCCGAGGAGGCGCUGCAGCCCGGGUGGCUCUACUUCGCGCUGCCUAUGUCCAUGCUCCGCCGGCCGCUCUCCGGGCAGGAGAUGGCCGCCCUCGCCGUCAAGGCCAGCUCCGCGCUCGCCGUCGCCGACGGCAAAGGGCGGAAGGCGGCUCGAGUGGCGCCGCUCGUCGUCGCUGAGGAGAGCGCCGGAACAGAGGACGGUGGAUGGAGUCACCACGCGUAUGGAAAAGGCGAUGCGCUCAAGACGGUGCACGGCGGUGGUGAGACGGUGGGGAAGACGAGGAAGCGAGCCGGUGGUUCCUACGGAAGCGGCACGAGUCGUCCGGCAAGCGUGCAAAGGUUAAGCUCCAUUUUGGAGGCCGAUGACUGA